UCUUAGAUAAAGUAUUUAUCGUUUUUUAAAAAGUAUAAACAAUUUUGACUUAUUUUAUUCCACCGAAGUCGUGAAGGCGACCUAUCGAGAGAUGUAGAUACUAUAUUAUAUGAGAGAAUAUAUGUAAAGACAUCGCCGAAGGACCGGCCCACCGCGGAGACGCUGGCAGCCGGCCCGGUGCUAUCUCGUCGCCAGGCUCGCGCCUCCACGUGCUCUUGGUGCUGACUCUCGAGGUUGACCACGCCAACGCCAGGCCCUAGCGCCUGGCGUGUUCAUUCCCGCCGCUCUUCCCAUACCAAAGGCGGCGUCUCCGGUGGAGGCCCGCCCCGCCCCGCCAUCACUGUGAACGGCCUCGGCUCAGCCCUCGGGAUGGCGCCUUUGGCAUCGGAACGGCAGUCCUGCGCGGCAAGGCUGCGGUGGCGGAGCCUCGAGGAGGGGACCCGUUCUCAGUGGUGCUUGUGAGGAGGGUCUGGUACCCGACUCUGCUGCCUGCCUGGCUGACUCACUCGUGUGACAGGUGCAUUUACUUUGUACGUCUCCGCUCGCCCCGGGCUCACGCCGCAGCCCACCCCACCCCACCCCACCCCCACCCCCGCCCCCGCAGGGUCGGCUCCUGUGGUGGCCGGGGACGCAGGCGGGUUAGUUGUGGGUGCCUGCUUUGUCUACAAGGGAGUCACGCUGACAGGUGACAGUAUUUUAUAGAGAGGUGAUGAAAAUUUAUAAAUUUCAUAGACGGACUUCAUUUAUUUUUAGACUGUAUGACGAAUACACAGUAAACUAAAGAGAAAAGGAAGAAAGGAAAGUGAGGGGAAACCCUCCCGCCUGUUCAAGGGCACAGCGGCACUGGCCCAGGGCCCUCCUGCCCACCCUGCUGGGGUGACACCUGCUCCACCCGAGCGGCCACGGUGGUGCUUGGGAAGGGAUGCGCUGGGGGUGGCCGGGCAGGAGGGCUGCUCGCUGAGGCUCCGAGGUGCCCGGUAGGGUUCUCGGUCCCUCGAGCACAGCACCUGUGACCAGUCCUGGGUCCCUGGGUGGGGCAAUGUUGUCUGUGUGCCUCCCGAGAAGCUCUCGGUCCCCCGAAAGGGCCAACGUCGGCCAAAGGUGGGCGCCCCAGCGAGGGCUGAGCAUGGGCAGUCGGAGCCCCAUCCUCAGGUGUUUGCCACCCAGGCGGCACCCGUCAAGGAGCACGGGAGGGUGGGCCUCUGUGUGGUGGCCUAACGUGAGCCUUCCCCGGCCUGGCCGACUCCACAUACCCUUCAGAGGUGGACGCCACGGGUCCUCCGCCUGCCCUUGAGUGGGGUCAGUGUGGUGGCCGAGGCCCGGCCCCGCUUCCUGACCCCCGGGACGCAGGCCACAAGGGUCAGAGCGGGCCAGUGCGCUGCCUGCAGCCACCUCUACACUGUGUGGGGCAGCAAUCAGGCUAGAGACGGAGCCUUCCUCCUGUGACCGCCCGCCCUGCCCCCCUUCCCCCCAGGUCGGUGCUCCCAGUGCACGACGGUGCUGUCCUGACCCCCGGCCCCCGGCCUCUCCAAGAGGCUCCCCUCCCCGUGUCAGGAACACAGGGCUCCCGAGAAAGCUACGGCGCUGCCAGCGGAGCCCCCAUCUGAACAAAGGACACUGUACACAAACACUGCAGUCACUUCGGGAGGACCACCGCGCCGCGUCUGUCCUCUGCACGCACGCGCAAGCACCAGGGGACGGACGACCCGCGCAGGGCCUGCCCCACAGCGGGGCCCAGCUCGGCCUCUCCACACCCACCCUCCGGUCCCAGCCUGAGCGCCGCCGCUGACGCCAGCCACGGGAGUAGGGCGCCGGCUGGCGUGCGUGGGGAGCGGCCCUGCGGGAGCCCCACCGCUGCUGCCGACGCGGGUGCUCCAGGUCUGACAGCUGCUGUCGCUUUGCUCAGGAAAACCUAACAACUAGGACAGCCUCCAGUCAGGGGAUGCGUUCUCCGUUCAGCUAUGAAUCGUGACCUAUUUAAGAACCACCCCCCCCCAACUGCCCUUAUUUAUCCUGCCAGCCGGCCCGUCUACAGUUAGGACUGUUUGUUCUCAUUUACACAUCCAUCCACGCUGGCUCACGCAUCCCUGCCUUGGUUUGUAACGGAGACGGGCUUUGCUUUCUUGUUCUGGUAGCCUAUGUUUCAGUUGGGGCGCUGGCUCCACCCCCUCUUCCCAAGGGAACCCCACUGCACUGCGUUUCCACCUCUAGACGCUGUAAUAAAAUACCUGUUUUCACUUG
Phocoena sinus (vaquita) is the source of this 2241-nucleotide long non-coding RNA. The record is from Ensembl. NCBI's taxonomy places the organism in Eukaryota, Metazoa, Chordata, Mammalia, Artiodactyla, Phocoenidae.